UGGGGAAUAUUGGACAAUGGGCGCAAGCCUGAUCCAGCCAUGCCGCGUGAGUGAUGAAGGCCUUAGGGUUGUAAAGCUCUUUCACCGGUGAAGAUAAUGACGGUAACCGGAGAAGAAGCCCCGGCUAACUUCGUGCCAGCAGCCGCGGUAAUACGAAGGGGGCUAGCGUUGUUCGGAUUUACUGGGCGUAAAGCGCACGUAGGCGGAUCGAUCAGUCAGGGGUGAAAUCCCAGAGCUCAACUCUGGAACUGCCUUUGAUACUGUCGAUCUGGAGUAUGGAAGAGGUGAGUGGAAUUCCGAGUGUAGAGGUGAAAUUCGUAGAUAUUCGGAGGAACACCAGUGGCGAAGGCGGCUCACUGGUCCAUUACUGACGCUGAGGUGCGAAAGCGUGGGGAGCAAACA
This 402-nucleotide ribosomal RNA is filed under the name uncultured Rhizobium sp. Its description in RNAcentral is "bacterial SSU rRNA". It matches the Rfam family "Bacterial small subunit ribosomal RNA", at positions 355 to 774 of the family's 1533-position model. Lineage: Bacteria; Pseudomonadati; Pseudomonadota; Alphaproteobacteria; Hyphomicrobiales; Rhizobiaceae. The record is from RNAcentral.